Molecule: ribosomal RNA, 2934 nt
Filed under: Bacillus velezensis
Lineage: Bacteria; Bacillati; Bacillota; Bacilli; Caryophanales; Bacillaceae
Description: 23S ribosomal RNA
Rfam family: Bacterial large subunit ribosomal RNA
Source: RNAcentral
CGGUUAAGUUAGAAAGGGCGCACGGUGGAUGCCUUGGCACUAGGAGCCGAUGAAGGACGGGACGAACACCGAUAUGCUUCGGGGAGCUGUAAGCAAGCUUUGAUCCGGAGAUUUCCGAAUGGGGAAACCCACCACUCGUAAUGGAGUGGUAUCCAUAUCUGAAUACAUAGGAUAUGAGAAGGCAGACCCGGGGAACUGAAACAUCUAAGUACCCGGAGGAAGAGAAAGCAAAUGCGAUUCCCUGAGUAGCGGCGAGCGAAACGGGACCAGCCCAAACCAAGAGGCUUGCCUCUUGGGGUUGUAGGACACUCUGUACGGAGUUACAAAGGAACGAGGUAGAUGAAGAGGUCUGGAAAGGCCCGCCAUAGGAGGUAACAGCCCUGUAGUCAAAACUUCGUUCUCUCCUGAGUGGAUCCUGAGUACGGCGGAACACGUGAAAUUCCGUCGGAAUCCGGGAGGACCAUCUCCCAAGGCUAAAUACUCCCUAGUGACCGAUAGUGAACCAGUACCGUGAGGGAAAGGUGAAAAGCACCCCGGAAGGGGAGUGAAAGAGAUCCUGAAACCGUGUGCCUACAAGUAGUCAGAGCCCGUUAACGGGUGAUGGCGUGCCUUUUGUAGAAUGAACCGGCGAGUUACGAUCCCGUGCAAGGUUAAGCAGAAGAUGCGGAGCCGCAGCGAAAGCGAGUCUGAAUAGGGCGAAUUGAGUACGUGGUCGUAGACCCGAAACCAGGUGAUCUACCCAUGUCCAGGGUGAAGUUCAGGUAACACUGAAUGGAGGCCCGAACCCACGCACGUUGAAAAGUGCGGGGAUGAGGUGUGGGUAGGGGUGAAAUGCCAAUCGAACCUGGAGAUAGCUGGUUCUCUCCGAAAUAGCUUUAGGGCUAGCCUCAAGGUAAGAGUCUCGGAGGUAGAGCACUGAUUGGACUAGGGGCCCCUACCGGGUUACCGAAUUCAGUCAAACUCCGAAUGCCGAUGACUUAUCCUUGGGAGUCAGACUGCGAGUGAUAAGAUCCGUAGUCGAAAGGGAAACAGCCCAGACCGCCAGCUAAGGUCCCAAAGUAUACGUUAAGUGGAAAAGGAUGUGGAGUUGCUUAGACAACCAGGAUGUUGGCUUAGAAGCAGCCACCAUUUAAAGAGUGCGUAAUAGCUCACUGGUCGAGUGACUCUGCGCCGAAAAUGUACCGGGGCUAAACGUAUCACCGAAGCUGCGGACUGUUCUUCGAACAGUGGUAGGAGAGCGUUCUAAGGGCUGUGAAGCAAGACCGGAAGGACUUGUGGAGCGCUUAGAAGUGAGAAUGCCGGUAUGAGUAGCGAAAGAGGGGUGAGAAUCCCCUCCACCGAAUGCCUAAGGUUUCCUGAGGAAGGCUCGUCCGCUCAGGGUUAGUCGGGACCUAAGCCGAGGCCGAAAGGCGUAGGCGAUGGAUAACAGGUUGAUAUUCCUGUACCACCUCCUCACCAUUUGAGCAAUGGGGGGACGCAGGAGGAUAGGGUAAGCGCGGUAUUGGAUAUCCGCGUCCAAGCAGUUAGGCUGGGAAAUAGGCAAAUCCGUUUCCCGUGAAGGCUGAGCUGUGAUGGCGAGCGAAUUAUAGUAGCGAAGUUCCUGAUUCCACACUGCCAAGAAAAGCCUCUAGCGAGGUGAGAGGUGCCCGUACCGCAAACCGACACAGGUAGGCGAGGAGAGAAUCCUAAGGUGAUCGAGAGAACUCUCGUUAAGGAACUCGGCAAAAUGACCCCGUAACUUCGGGGGAAGGGGUGCUCUGUUAGGGUGCAAGCCCGAGAGAGCCGCAGUGAAUAGGCCCAGGCGACUGUUUAGCAAAAACACAGGUCUCUGCGAAGCCGUAAGGCGAAGUAUAGGGGCUGACGCCUGCCCGGUGCUGGAAGGUUAAGAGGAGCGCUUAGCGUAAGCGAAGGUGCGAAUUGAAGCCCCAGUAAACGGCGGCCGUAACUAUAACGGUCCUAAGGUAGCGAAAUUCCUUGUCGGGUAAGUUCCGACCCGCACGAAAGGCGCAACGAUCUGGGCACUGUCUCAACGAGAGACUCGGUGAAAUUAUAGUACCUGUGAAGAUGCAGGUUACCCGCGACAGGACGGAAAGACCCCGUGGAGCUUUACUGCAGCCUGAUAUUGAAUGUUGGUACAGCUUGUACAGGAUAGGUAGGAGCCUUGGAAACCGGAGCGCCAGCUUCGGUGGAGGCAUCGGUGGGAUACUACCCUGGCUGUAUUGACCUUCUAACCCGCCGCCCUUAUCGGGCGGGGAGACAGUGUCAGGUGGGCAGUUUGACUGGGGCGGUCGCCUCCUAAAAGGUAACGGAGGCGCCCAAAGGUUCCCUCAGAAUGGUUGGAAAUCAUUCGCAGAGUGUAAAGGCACAAGGGAGCUUGACUGCGAGACCUACAAGUCGAGCAGGGACGAAAGUCGGGCUUAGUGAUCCGGUGGUUCCGCAUGGAAGGGCCAUCGCUCAACGGAUAAAAGCUACCCCGGGGAUAACAGGCUUAUCUCCCCCAAGAGUCCACAUCGACGGGGAGGUUUGGCACCUCGAUGUCGGCUCAUCGCAUCCUGGGGCUGUAGUCGGUCCCAAGGGUUGGGCUGUUCGCCCAUUAAAGCGGUACGCGAGCUGGGUUCAGAACGUCGUGAGACAGUUCGGUCCCUAUCCGUCGCGGGCGCAGGAAAUUUGAGAGGAGCUGUCCUUAGUACGAGAGGACCGGGAUGGACGCACCGCUGGUGUACCAGUUGUUCUGCCAAGGGCAUCGCUGGGUAGCUAUGUGCGGACGGGAUAAGUGCUGAAAGCAUCUAAGCAUGAAGCCCCCCUCAAGAUGAGAUUUCCCAUUCCGCAAGGAAGUAAGAUCCCUGAAAGAUGAUCAGGUUGAUAGGUCUGAGGUGGAAGUGUGGCGACACAUGGAGCUGACAGAUACUAAUCGAUCGAGGACUUAACCAAUUU